GCCUGGGUGGCUCAGUUGGUGAAGCAUCUGACUUCGGCUCAGGUCAUGGUCUCAUGUCAUGGGUUCGAGUCCCGUGUCAGGCU
Non-coding RNA from Leopardus geoffroyi (Geoffroy's cat), 83 nucleotides. The record is from the annotation of a RefSeq genome assembly. Lineage: Eukaryota; Metazoa; Chordata; Mammalia; Carnivora; Felidae.